AUGCAGAGGAGACGGGUCGGCAGCAGGCAGAACGAGCAGCUGGGCGGCAAGGGCAUGGGGCCGGAGGAACCAAGAUCGACACAUCCCCAUCUAAUCUUCCGCGAGGGAACGAGUGCACCUGUACCAUCUCAGCCAGGCGAGAAAAUUGCAACAUAUCUUGUUCAUCCAGUAGAUAUGUCAACAGGAACAGAUUUGAAGGAACAACAAGCAUUCAACCAACUCAGCCGGCAACAGAAGCUCCGUCUCUGCCUAAAUCUUAAUUUUCCAUUCUCUGACCUGAUUAGUGGAAAGCUUUUUUUAAUCAAAGAUUAG
RNAcentral lists this ribosomal RNA (312 nucleotides) under Triticum aestivum (bread wheat). Its description in RNAcentral is "partial small subunit ribosomal RNA". The record is from RNAcentral. Lineage: Eukaryota; Viridiplantae; Streptophyta; Magnoliopsida; Poales; Poaceae.